This is a long non-coding RNA of Oncorhynchus keta (chum salmon), 3114 nucleotides long. RefSeq lists it as uncharacterized. NCBI's taxonomy places the organism in Eukaryota, Metazoa, Chordata, Actinopteri, Salmoniformes, Salmonidae. The record is from RefSeq and is a predicted model, not a curated record. The transcript has 3 exons.
UCCGGUGGCCAUUUGAUUAAUUGUUCAGCAGUCUUAUGGCUUGGGGUAGAAGCUGUUAAGGAGCCUUUUGGUCCUAGAAGGGGAGAGGUGAUUGGCGCUCUGGUACCGCUUGCCGGUAGCAGAGAAAACAGUCUAUGACUUGGGUGACUGGAGUGUCUGACAAUUUUAUGGGCUUUCUUCUGACACUGCCUAUUAUAUAGGUCCUGGUUUGCAGGAAGCUUGGCCCCAGUGAUGUACUGGGCUGUACGCACUACCCUCUGUAGCGCCUUACGGUCAGAUGGCGAGCAGUUGCCAUACAGGGCGGUGAUGUAACCGGUCAGGAUGCCUCGAUGGUGCAGCUGUAGAACCUUCUCCUGAGGGGGAAAAGGUUUCAUCGUGCCCUCUUUACAACUGUCUUGGUGUGUUUGUACCAUGAUAGAUUGUUGAGGAUGUGGACACCAAGGAACUUGAAACUCUCAAACCAUCUCCACUACAGCCCCGCUGAUGUUAAUGGGGGCCUGUUCAGCCCACCUUUUCCUGUAGUCAACGAUCAACUCCUUUGUCUUGCUCACAUUGAGGGAGAGGUUGUUGUCCUGGCACUACACUGCCAGUUCUCUGACCUCCUCCCUAUAGGCUGUCUCAUCUGUGUCGUGAUCAGGCUUACCACUGUUGUGUCGUCUGCAAACUUAAUGAUGGUGUUUGAGUCAUGCGUGACUACACAGUCGUGGGUGAACAGGGAGUACAGGAGGGGACUAAGUACACACCCCUGAGGGGCCCCAGUGUUGAGGAUGAGCAUGGCAGAAGUGUUGUUGCCCACCCUAACUACCUUGCGGUGACCGUCAGGAAGUCCAGGAUCCAGUUUCAGAGGGAGGUGUUUAGUCCAAGGGUCCUAAGCUUAGUGAUGAGAUUCGUGGGCACUAUAGUGUUGAACGCUGAGCUGUAGUCAAUGAACAGCAUUCUCACUUUAGUGUUCCUUUUGUCCAGGUGGGAAAAGGCAUUGUGGAGUGCGAUUGAGAUUGCGCCAUCGGUGGAUCUGUUGGGGCGCUAUGCAAAUUGGAGUGGGUCUAGGGUAUCCGGGAGGAUGCUGUUGAUGUGAGCCAUGACCAGCAUUUCAAAGCAAUUCAUGGCUACCAACGUGAGUGCUAUGGGGCUGUAAUCAUUUAGGCAGGUUACCUUCGCUUCCUUGGGCACAGGGACUAUGGUGGUCUGCUUGAAACAUGUAGGUAUUACAGACUCGGUCAGGGAGAUGUCAGUGAAGACACUUGCCAGUUGGUCCGCGCAUGCUUUGAGUACACGUCCUGGUAAUCCAUCUGGCCCGGCAGCUUUGUGAAUGUUGACCUGUUUAAAGUUCUUGCUCACAUAGGCUACCGAGAGCGCUAUCACACAGUCAUCCAGAACAGCUGGUGCUCUCAUGCAUGCUUCAGCGUUGCUUGCCUCGAAGCGAGCAUAAAAUACAUUUAGCUCAUCUGGUAGGCUUGCGUCACUGGGUAGCUUGAGUCUGGGUUUCCCUUUGUAGUCUGUAAUAGUUUUCAAGCCCUGCCACAUCCGACGAGCGUCAGAGCCAUUGUAGUAGGAUUCAUUAUUAAUCAUGUAUUGAUGCUUUGCUUGUUUGAUGGAUCGUCUGAGGGCAUAGUGGGAUUUCUUAUCAGCGUCUGGAUUAGUGUCCCGCUCCUUGAAAGCGGCAGCUCUAGCCUUUAGCUUGAUGCGGAUGUUGCCUGGAUUCCAUGGUUUCUGGUUGGGAUAUGUAGGUACGGUCACUGUGGGGACUACGUCGUUGAUGUGCUUAUUGAUGAAGCCGAUGACACACAGCCCCAUCCCUCGUCUUACCAGACAUAGCUUCUCUGUUCUUCCGGUACAUUGCAAAUCCCUCCAGCUCUAUAUUAUCUGUGUCGUCGUUCAGCCACGACUCUGUUAAACAGAAGAUAUUACAGUUCUUAAUGUCCCGUUGGUAGGAUAAUUGUAAUCAUCGGUCAUCAAUUUUUUAUCUCCAAUGAUUGCAUGUUAGCAAGUAGAAUUGAUGGCAGUGGGAGUUUACUCGCUCGCCUACGGAAUCUCAAAAGGCAGCCCGAUCUGCAUGCUAUUUUCCUCCAUAUUUUCUUCAUUCAAAUGAAGGGGAUCUGUGUCACGUUCUGACCUUAGUUCUUUUAUUAUGUCUUUGUUUUAGUAUGGUCAGGGCGUGAGUUGGGUAGGUUGUCUAUGUUCCUUUUCUAUGUUUUGGGAUUUCUGGUAUGGCCUGGUAUGGUUCUCACUCAGAGGCAGCUGUUUAUCAUUGUCUCUGAUUGAGAACCAUAUUUAGGUAGAGUGGUUUCACUUUUGAGUUGUGGGUGAUUAUUUUCCGUGUUAGUGUUGGUUACCACACUGGGACCAUUUCGUUUGUUUCACUUUGUUAUUUUGUAUUUUUGCAGUGUUCAUUUUGUCUCAUUAAAAUGGACACUUAAGACGCUGCAAAUUGGUCCGACCUCUCUUACUCCUCAUCAGAGGAAGAUGACGAACGUUACAAUCUGGGCCUGUUCCAGGGAGAGCAGUAAAUCUUUCUCAUCUGACUCAUGAAAGGAAAAAGCUUCAUCUAGUUUGUGUGUGUUUCCGGUGUCCUGGAACGCACCCUGUCUGGUUGCCGGGCGAAUUAGCUUGUUGGGAGAUCGAUGUUCACCCGCACCUGUAUCCCAUCAGUAAUCUGCACACCUGUCCUGAUCAUCACCUCUCCCCUUCAAAAGCUCUGACCUGACAUCCAUUCCCCGCCGGAUCGUUAGCCAUGGACAUUACUCACCCGAAUCAUUUACCCCAUUCCCGCCUGGUCGUCGGAGGAUUCCACUACCCCAUUGGAUCCACCUAUUUACUCCCAUCAACUCACCACCGCUGCCCGCUACGCCACCUGGAUAUAUCUACCCAUUCACAUUCACUUGUAAAUAAAUACUCACCUUCUUCCUACUCCUUGUCCUGGUCUGCUUCUGGGUUCGAUUUUGAAAGAAAGUGACACUUAACUUUCCAGCUUUCUUGAUAUACAAUACUUGUUAUUUACAUCUGUUUGGAAUCCUAUCUUGCAUCAUGCCUAUAAUGUUGUGAAAUCUAAAUGUAUCCACGGUCAUAAUCAUAACCAUUGUCAACCCUCGUCAAUUAUGUUACAUAGCUAGCUCG